CUGGAUGUGCUCGUUAGUCAUAGACGAUACACAGAGAACGGUCAUAUGACUAGAGACACAUUCAGCU
RNAcentral lists this microRNA precursor (67 nucleotides) under Caenorhabditis brenneri. RNAcentral describes it as "microRNA cbn-mir-44 precursor (cbn-mir-44-2, cbn-mir-44-3)". Its record names the gene cbn-mir-44-2. It matches the Rfam family "mir-44 microRNA precursor family", at positions 12 to 78 of the family's 88-position model. Lineage: Eukaryota; Metazoa; Nematoda; Chromadorea; Rhabditida; Rhabditidae. The record is from miRBase by way of RNAcentral.